GGGGAAUCUUCGGCAAUGGACGGAAGUCUGACCGAGCAACGCCGCGUGAGUGAAGAAGGUUUUCGGAUCGUAAAGCUCUGUUGUAAGAGAAGAACGAGUGUGAGAGUGGAAAGUUCACACUGUGACGGUAUCUUACCAGAAAGGGACGGCUAACUACGUGCCAGCAGCCGCGGUAAUACGUAGGUCCCGAGCGUUGUCCGGAUUUAUUGGGCGUAAAGCGAGCGCAGGCGGUUAGAUAAGUCUGAAGUUAAAGGCUGUGGCUUAACCAUAGUACGCUUUGGAAACUGUUUAACUUGAGUGCAAGAGGGGAGAGUGGAAUUCCAUGUGUAGCGGUGAAAUGCGUAGAUAUAUGGAGGAACACCGGUGGCGAAAGCGGCUCUCUGGCUUGUAACUGACGCUGAGGCUCGAAAGCGUGGGGAGCAAACAGGAUUAGAUACCCUGGUAGUCCACGCCGUAAACGAUGAGUGCUAGGUGUUAGACCCUUUCCGGGGUUUAGUGCCGUAGCUAACGCAUUAAGCACUCCGCCUGGGGAGUACGACCGCAAGGUUG
This 549-nucleotide ribosomal RNA is filed under the name uncultured bacterium. RNAcentral's name for it is "bacterial SSU rRNA". It matches the Rfam family "Bacterial small subunit ribosomal RNA", at positions 356 to 896 of the family's 1533-position model. The record is from RNAcentral.